RNAcentral lists this ribosomal RNA (465 nucleotides) under uncultured bacterium. RNAcentral describes it as "partial 16S ribosomal RNA". It matches the Rfam family "Bacterial small subunit ribosomal RNA", at positions 338 to 795 of the family's 1533-position model. The record is from RNAcentral.
CCUACGGGUGGCAGCAGUAGGGAAUCUUCCACAAUGGGCGCAAGCCUGAUGGAGCAACACCGCGUGAGUGAAGAAGGGUUUCGGCUCGUAAAGCUCUGUUGUUGGAGAAGAACGUGCGUGAGAGUAACUGUUCACGCAGCGACGGUAUCCAACCAGAAAGUCACGGCUAACUACGUGCCAGCAGCCGCGGUAAUACGUAGGUGGCAAGCGUUAUCCGGAUUUAUUGGGCGUAAAGCGAGCGCAGGCGGUUGCUUAGGUCUGAUGUGAAAGCCUUCGGCUUAACCGAAGAAGUGCAUCGGAAACCGGGAAACUUGAGUGCAGAAGAGGACAGUGGAACUCCAUGUGUAGCGGUGGAAUGCGUAGAUAUAUGGAAGAACACCAGUGGCGAAGGCGGCUGUCUGGUCUGCAACUGACGCUGAGGCUCGAAAGCAUGGGUAGCGAACAGGAUUAGAUACCCUGGUAGUC